CGGCGAGUGAAGCGGCAAGAGCUCAAAUUUGAAAUCUGGCCUCCCUUGGGGGGUCCGAGUUGUAAUUUGUAGAGGAUGCUUCGGGUGUGGCCGCCGUCUAAGUUCCUUGGAACAGGACGUCGUAGAGGGUGAGAAUCCCGUCUUGGGCGGCCGGUCCGCGCCCGUGUGAAGCUCCUUCGACGAGUCGAGUUGUUUGGGAAUGCAGCUCUAAGCGGGUGGUAAAUUUCAUCUAAAGCUAAAUACUGGCCGGAGACCGAUAGCGCACAAGUAGAGUGAUCGAAAGGUUAAAAGCACCUUGAAAAGGGAGUUAAACAGCACGUGAAAUUGUUGAAAGGGAAGCGCUUGCGGCCAGACUCGAGGGGCGGGGUUCAGCGGGUGCGCGUCACCCGUGCACUCCCCGUCCCCCCGGGCCAGCAUCAGUUUCGACGGCCGGUCAAAGGCCCCCGGAAUGUGUCGUCUCUAGGGACGUCUUAUAGCCGGGGGUGCAAUGCGGCCCGCCGGGACUGAGGAACGCGCUCCGGCUCGGAUGCUGGCGUAAUGGCCGUAAGCGGCCCGUCUUGAAACACGGACCAAGGAGUCUAACAUCCACGCGAGUGUUCGGGUGUCAAACCCGUGCGCGCAGUGAAAGCGAACGGAGGUGGGAGCCCUAGGGCGCACCAUCGACCGAUCCUGAAGUCUUCGGAUGGAUUUGAGUAGGAGCGUGGCCGUUGGGACCCGAAAGAUGGUGAACUAUGCCUGAAUAGGGUGAAGCCAGAGGAAACUCUGGUGGAGGCUCGCAGCGGUUCUGACGUGCAAAUCGAUCGUCAAAUUU
RNAcentral lists this ribosomal RNA (811 nucleotides) under Microsporum canis. RNAcentral describes it as "eukaryotic LSU rRNA". It matches the Rfam family "Eukaryotic large subunit ribosomal RNA", at positions 87 to 912 of the family's 3401-position model. Lineage: Eukaryota; Fungi; Ascomycota; Eurotiomycetes; Onygenales; Arthrodermataceae. The record is from RNAcentral.